Molecule: long non-coding RNA, 1787 nt
Filed under: Mus musculus (house mouse)
Lineage: Eukaryota; Metazoa; Chordata; Mammalia; Rodentia; Muridae
Description: RIKEN cDNA 4930556M19 gene
Source: RNAcentral
CGGAGCUGCUCCCUGGACCUGCGGGAGGUGCUCUGCGACCGCCCACGCCCCGGCCCGCGGCGCGUCCCGGACGUCCACGCUUGCGUUUCUGCGGAUCGUGGGAAUCCUUCUGCGUGGGAGUUUUAGAAAUGCUAACCGAGCUCAGGUUUUGAACAUGUCUGGGACUGUGAAUUGGCUGCCAGAAUGAAGCAAAAGCAGCCAGGCUGAGAGAACCAUGGAGCUCUGAAGCCAGUCCCAAGAAGAAGCAGAAGACAUAAUACAAGCAGAAGACAGGGAGAGAAUAUUCUACGCGUAUAUACACAGGCUCAACUCUGCAGAGGACUGAUAAUGGGAAGAGAAAGCCCCGACUGGCAUCACCCUGGGUUCAAGCAGCCAAAGGCAUGAAAAGUUUGACCUUGGCCUUUUAUUUCUUAGAACAGUUUAGGCUAAUCCCUACGGGUAUGCUGCUGCCAAGUUGGUUCUUUUACUGUGCUCAUCAGAAGUGCCAGAAAAAUACCCGCACCCGCCCCCCAUUUAGCCUCUGGAAGAAGAUGUUCUAAAGGGCUCACAAACAUCCAGAUGUAGCUCUUACCAAGCUCCAGCGUCAGAAGGAGUGCCUCAGCGUCUAAGUCCGUAUAUACACACACGGCUUUUCAUGCAUCCUCUGCUGGGGAGGUCACAAUCUGAGGCACCCUUUAAAGCCACUUCUGGGAGAAAAGAAAGAGAAAAAAAAAAAUCAACCACUGAACGUCUAGUGAGCUGUUUCCUAAGGAGGCAUCAACAAACUCCUACCAGCCCCAGUCCUCAGUAACGUCAUGAGAUGGGCUGCUUGUGGUUGUCAAAACUGAUCUUCCCACUGCGGGUGAACACGUACGGCGGAUUGUUAUGGCUUAGGGCGCUUGACUGCACCGCUGUGAAAAUAUUCAGCAGAAUUCCACAAGCUCUUUGUUUGCCUUGCCUUAGUGGAAAUUCCUCCAGCUAUCCAAACACGCACCUGGGGGAGGUGUUUUUUUUUUCCCCCUCCACAUUUCAGGAAGGGGUUUCUUCUAAGUAAAAAUGUGUCCUUACCUCUCUUCUAAGUUCUCAGGCAAGACUUCUGGUUUGAGUUGAAGAUGACUAUGAAUGUGUUCUGGUUGGAAAGGGAGGUGGAGUUGGAGGAGCCGGAGAGGUCUGUAGCAAAUGUUCCUCCAACAGAGCUAAGCUGGGAAAAGGAAAGCCAAUGGAAGCCAACAAAGAAGGAAGCACGAAGCAAGGCUCCCCCAGAUUCCUAGAAGCCCAGGAACACAAAAGCCAGGAAGAUGAAUCGUCUUUUACAGUAGUAGACCUGUAUAUAGGAACGGGGAAGAUUCUAGGGUGAAAGAUCCGGGCUGCCGCUGGUCACCCAGAAGGGAGUAUGUACCUUGAGUUUCGUAACACGGAAUGGAAGUUUGGAGGCCCCUUGAAAAGAACCAAAGCACAAAGGAAGUUGGGCCUGAAGAAGGCUGGGAGACCUCUCACGCAGAGACCCAGGGCUCAGGACAGAGAAAGGAAGGUAGAACGCCAAGUGGAUCUCAUAUUUGCUCUGCGGGCUUCUGGGAAGUGUUUGAAAACAUUCUAUUUAAACUGUGCCUCUUAAGAGAGCUCUCCACUUACAUCUAACUCAGUGUGCUCAUAUUAGCAAAUAGAAAUUAUGGGAACAUUCCAAGUGCUCCCCGCCUUCCUGGUCCUCCCUCCCUGACCCCGAUAGUCUGUCCUGCCUGGAGUCUGGGCGAAUGUUUGUUUCUGAGGGAUGGAAACUGAUUAAAAACUAGAAGGCUGCUUGGGAAAAA